UGGGGAAUAUUGCACAAUGGGCGCAAGCCUGAUGCAGCCAUGCCGCGUGUAUGAAGAAGGCCUUCGGGUUGUAAAGUACUUUCAGCGGGGAGGAAGGGAGUAAAGUUAAUACCUUUGCUCAUUGACGUUACCCGCAGAAGAAGCACCGGCUAACUCCGUGCCAGCAGCCGCGGUAAUACGGAGGGUGCAAGCGUUAAUCGGAAUUACUGGGCGUAAAGCGCACGCAGGCGGUUUGUUAAGUCAGAUGUGAAAUCCCCGGGCUCAACCUGGGAACUGCAUCUGAUACUGGCAAGUUUGAGUCUCGUAGAGGGGGGUAGAAUUCCAGGUGUAGCGGUGAAAUGCGUAGAGAUCUGGAGGAAUACCGGUGGCGAAGGCGGCCCCCUGGACGAAGACUGACGCUCAGGUGCGAAAGCGUGGGGAGCAAACAGG
RNAcentral lists this ribosomal RNA (429 nucleotides) under Chloroflexota bacterium. RNAcentral describes it as "Chloroflexi bacterium partial 16S ribosomal RNA". It matches the Rfam family "Bacterial small subunit ribosomal RNA", at positions 355 to 776 of the family's 1533-position model. The record is from RNAcentral. Lineage: Bacteria; Bacillati; Chloroflexota.